CGGCCGCGGUACCCUGACCGUGCAAAGGUAGCAUAAUCACUUGCCCCUUAAAUAGGGACUUGUAUCAACGGCAUCACGAGGGUUAUACUGUCUCCCCCCUCUAAUCAGUGAAACUGACCUCCCCGUGAAGAGGCGGGGAUACAAUUACAAGACGAGAAGACCCCAUGGAGCUUUAAACCCAAUAACAACCUUCACUUAAAUACUCCCACACAAAUAUAAAGCAAUGUAUAUUGGUUUUAGGUUGGGGUGACCACGGAGCAAAACUAAACCUCCAUGACGAAUGGAAAUUCAUCCUAAUCCACGAGCUGCCACUCUAAGAAUCAAAAUUUGACGUAAUAUGAUCCGGCAACCGAUCAACGAACCAAGUUACCCUGGGGAUAACAGCGCAAUCCAUUUCAAGAGCCCCUAUCGACAAAUGGGUUUACGACCUCGAUGUUGGAUCAGGGUAUCCCAGUGGUGCAGCCGCUACUAAAGGUUUGUUUGUUCAACAAUUAAAACCCUACGUG
RNAcentral lists this ribosomal RNA (506 nucleotides) under Limnonectes lanjakensis (Labang's fanged frog). Its description in RNAcentral is "partial large subunit ribosomal RNA". It matches the Rfam family "Bacterial large subunit ribosomal RNA", at positions 1928 to 2602 of the family's 2925-position model. The record is from RNAcentral. Lineage: Eukaryota; Metazoa; Chordata; Amphibia; Anura; Dicroglossidae.